Long non-coding RNA from Nylanderia fulva, 2704 nucleotides. RefSeq lists it as uncharacterized. The record is from RefSeq and is a predicted model, not a curated record. NCBI's taxonomy places the organism in Eukaryota, Metazoa, Arthropoda, Insecta, Hymenoptera, Formicidae.
UCUCCCCGGGACGGCUUACUCGGCAAGUCUAUUGUCUCGCGGACAAGCCCACCCACACAACGCGCCGUGUAACGCGCCGGUAAAUAUUCGCCCGUGCCGUUGUGAGUGUUAAUUCCGACGGCUCAUGAGUCCCCUCUAAUUGUCCUCGGCGCCAGAUGUGGCGACGUCACCCAACAUCGGCUCUAUUCAGCAGCGAAUAGUCGAAAAGUAAGCGAGUACCGAGAAGCGAGGUGUAAGAGAUUCUCUAAGCUCAUCCUCGCUCUCAAUAAAUUACCCAGUUGGAAACUUGGCAUUGUGAAAAAAAUAUGGGCCAGACCGACACGUUGCGUACGAAGUAGCUGACUAGGAAACGACACGAUAUCGUGAGAAGAGUAACGGUGCGGGAAGAGGUCUCUGUAAUAGAGGUUUAUUGGCAAUUAAUCUUCCGGGCCGGAUGUGCCCGCUUCGUCGGGCACGAUACACUUCCGUCUCAGCGAGCGACCGGUAAACCGAGAAGAGAUGUAUUGCAUCGUACCACGAAAUCAAACGUACGUCCUUCUCUCCACUUCCUCCCAGUUGAUACCAAUUCCCCGGUCUACCUGCCGUGCGUCUUUGUCAGUUGCGCCGGAAGUGCAUUGUUUCUGAAGUACGAUUCUCGGGAGAUGUCCGUCAACCUGAUCUUGAUCAAGUGGCCUGUAGUGCUGUUUCCGCGUCGGUGAAACAGGAAGGUGCAACGAGAGAACGUUGUAUUUAAUUAGCGUUCCUUCGUCAGUCGUGUCAGAAAGAGGAAUCUUACGGUCGGGUUGCACGGCCACGUAUGAAAGAAAUUCGCGGAAAUAUGACUUUUAUCAUGAAAAUGUAAUGUAUGACUAAUUAGUUUUGUAAAACAGGUAGACAAAUUGCGUUACGUUUAUAACUACUUCAAAAGAUGGGCCCCUGUAAUUAAAAUAAUUGUUUACAAAUGGAGAAGAUUUUUUCUUUUAUAUUUAUAAAAAAAACACACGAUAUCAAAUAUAUCUAUUUCGUAAUUUCAUCGUGAAUAAAAGUUGCGCAGCAACGAGUUGCGCGUUCAGAGGACUACAUCGUGUGAUCAUUUCCAUUUUCGAUCUACGUGAAACCUCAGAACACGUCCGCUCCUUGUGAGACGUAAUAGAUACAGUGGUCAUAUCGUUGAACUACGGUAAGAUAGUGGGAUUGGAUUUAUACUGAACAUGUUCAACGAGCCGUCGAAUCGAAUUAUGCAUGAGAACAUUUUUUCAUAGACUUUUCGUCGAAUCGGAAUGUUCAUAUCGCAUCGCUAAAAAAAUUUUUUUAGGUAAAAAAUAUGGCAUCGAGUGUGGAUUAAAGUUGCUGCGAGUAUCGAUCUUCGAGGAAAUCAACUGAGAGAUGUUCCGCGAAUCGCACCGAAAAGUUGCAUCUCAGCUCGGAUUCUUUGACGAUGAUACUCGAACGAAUCGGCGCGGCGCAGCAGGACGCGGCGCGAAUCUGUUGCAAGCAGGCAAUUGGAGUGGAAAAGUUGGACAGACGAGAUUCUCGGUUUAACCCGAGCACGAAUUGAAAAUCUUUUUUUGGCAGGCAAUCGACUGAUGCUUGAUCUUCGAGACGUAGCAUAGUUAGAGACGACUACAGAAGAAGACAUUUUAAAUCAGGCAUUUGGCGUGAAUAGAAAAUUGAUUUUCUAUAUGCAGAUAUAUUUUAACAUCGUUUGCUUUUUUUCUAUAAGAAAAAGAGUCGGAUAUCCAAUUGAGGUUCUAAGAAAACAUUCCAGUGGAAAGGUGCGAAAAUAAACAAUCGAAAUAGCAUUGCCGCUUAAAUGUUUCCAACUACUGAAAGCGUCGAGUGAGAGAUGAAUCCAAGCUGAAUCAGAUCAAAGGAUAAAGUCGUCUUGUUUCCACUGUCAUCCAACACUUUGAUCUCACAUAUACGCGAUACGUUACUCCUCAACGAAGGACAAUGGUAUAAAGUUUCCAGUCGUUCUCAAUCGCUAUACUCACCUGACGUGGAAACAGGGAUGAAAAGCAGCUGGAUUAUCCUGUGCGGAGAAGUUCGGCAAAGUACCAUGAAGCAGAGCGAGCCGUACCACAAGAAGUAUGCCAAACUGCAAACAUUAAACGGUCGAUGAAUUUUCAUAUUGUUAUAGACGGGUAUUUUUCUUUACGAAACAUUCAAGAGUACUUUAUAUCAAUGCAAUGCGAAGUGCAGAUUUGAAAGCGCUUCAGUUAUUCUCGCACAAACCUAACAAACUUGUUUUCUUUCAUGUCUUUACGGUGCUAGCAAUUAAAAGAGGAAAACUUAUAAAUUAUUUUGGCACAAAAAUUUUACAUAGUCGUGUGGAUAUAACAAAUGUGAUAACAUCGAAUCAAGUGUCUCUUGUUUCAAAUUAAAAUGCAUUUGCAUUGCAUUCAUAUCUACAACUUUGACGUUUCUGUUUUAUCACACAUACAAAUAAUUGGAUUAUAAAUUACAUUUUGGAAGAUAAAAAGAACGAGAUAUAAAACAAAGCAACCGUAAGAGAGGCUAUAUUUUUAUACUCAAAUUGCGGAUCGUUGAUCCACUGCACGCGAUAUGAUAUAGAGACAUAAAAGUUUUACGCAGAAAUAUAGAAACUUUUAUGCGAUUCUCUAUGAUACGAUGGAAUAGAUAAAAAUGAAGUUAAUGAUGUAAUAGCAAACAGAUGACAAAGAAAGACAAAAUUUCAUGUUCUCAACAUGUCUACCAUAAUAAA